Molecule: RNA transcript, 1412 nt
Organism: Ipomoea nil (Japanese morning glory)
Lineage: Eukaryota; Viridiplantae; Streptophyta; Magnoliopsida; Solanales; Convolvulaceae
Gene name: protein YLS9-like
Exons: 3
Source: RefSeq, a predicted model, not a curated record
UCUUCUCUACGUCUACGCGUAUAGUGUGUUCACACCGUAUUCUUCGCCGACUCGAAAACAGUCCUACCUUGAAAGUACUAAAACACCCACUUCCCCCAGUCCAACCUUAAGUCUUCACCUGCACGAUACUCUCCCCGUCGCCGGCCAUGGCCGAUCAGACUAGGCCACAGCCUGUCACCAGCUACCCCGCCGGACCGGCUAAUCAAAACGGUUAUCCUCCACCCUCCUCCGGCACUGCCUAUCCUUAUGCCGCUCCGCCUCCCGCUGCCUACAACUAUAAUUACUACAACAACAAUAACCCUUACUACCAGCAGCCCGAUGCUUACGCCGUGCAACGCGCCACCUUCCUCCGGCGCGUGCUCGCCAUAUUCAUCGCCUGCUUCGUCAUCGCCGGCACGGUUAUCUUCAUCGUCUGGCUCAUCCUCCGUCCCCGCCUCCCCGAGGUCCGCGUGGAUUCGUUGUCGGUUUCCAGCUUCAACCUCUCGGAUAACUUUCUAUCGGGGAAUUGGGACUUCCAGUUCACGGCUCGGAACCCUAACAAGAAGAUGACUAUCGACUACGAUGACAUUCAGGCCUCGAUUUACUACGACUCGAAGCAGCUUGCUGAGACCAGUGUGGCGCCUUUCUUUCAGGAUAAGAGGAGCGAGACCGCCUCCAAGGCUACAUUCGCUGCUACUAGAACGUUUGUGGAUAAUAGGGUUGUGGAAGGGAUCAAGAAGGAGACGCCCAACAUUGAAUUCGAUGUGCUUAUGCUGGCUAGGGUUAGGUUCAAGGCGGGAUCGUGGAAGGCGAGGAGUAGGUUUCUGAGAGUUUAUUGUGGGGAGUUGAAGGUCGGACUUGUCCAAAACAAAUCUUCUGGCAACUUGGUCGGAGGUCCAAGGCAGUGUGUGGUGCGGCUUUGAUGGUGACUAACUGCACUUUCAGCUCUAACAGCACAUGCAAGUUCUAAUUUGGUAUGUGCUUUAGUGAGUUAUCACACAAAUGAACACAAGUAGAGAUAUUUUCUUCAGGCAGGGGAAACAGUUUGAACAUUGGGAUCAUAUUAUUGCACCGUGGUUUGAGUUUGGCACUUUGGCACUUUGGCACUUGGAAUGAAGAACUAACUUUUUGCUUCUUUGCUGUAAUAUAUAAACUGAAACAGUAUGACAUCAUUUUCAGUUACACACUGCCCCGCCCGGAGUCUUCUUCAACAUAUUCCUUCUCCUCCACCGUGGAUUCUUGCUGCUCCCCUCCCGCUUGUGUUCAAUGCAUUUUUGAUAUUCCUCCCAACUCCAGUCUGCUGUGCCGUAGAUAGUAAUAGUAGGAGUAUAUUACACAUAAGUUAUUCAGCCACUAGCAGGUUAUGAACAGCUUUUUCAUUCUUCUAACUGAACAUUUAUACAUAUUGCUUGUGACAGCUGCUAUUUUGAACC